This is a long non-coding RNA of Drosophila novamexicana, 1291 nucleotides long. RefSeq lists it as uncharacterized. The record is from RefSeq and is a predicted model, not a curated record. NCBI's taxonomy places the organism in Eukaryota, Metazoa, Arthropoda, Insecta, Diptera, Drosophilidae. The transcript is spliced from 3 exons.
UAGCUUUGUAGCAGCAAAUAAUAAUAAUUGUAGAAAUCAUUUUAGUUUUUAGCCAGCGGCAUUUUUUUGUCUGAUUGUUGCGGCCAUUCUAUUGAUUUGUGUUUUUAAUCAAGCAUCUUAUUGUUUGAUUUUUACAGAUAGAUUUAUAGCACACAUGUUGUUGGUCAUAUUUAAAAAAUUUUACACAGUAUUUACAGCGUUUAUUAUUUGCUGUUUUCAUUUAUUUAAUACACAUGCCGCCCAUGUCCUGCCAAUCUUUUGUCCGCCCUCACAUUUGACCGUAAAUGCUGCUAAGCUGCAAAACAAUUAUUUAACUGAAUGGUCGGACUGAAAAGUGUUUUAUGCUGUCAGUCGGGCAGCAUGUCCUGCGUGGGUCUGCAGAACAACAGGAAUCAGGACAAACAUUUUAAAUGAAAAUCAACACAAAAUACAAUGGAGUGUUUAUAAGCCCGGCUGUUGUUUGUCCGCUGUUGACACUGAGUACAUAAAACAACAACCAAUCUUAGUGUUCAAAUUAAAAUAAUAUUUAUUGAGUAUACAGCUUAAGAUAUAUUUAGAAUAUCACUUCAGCUAAUACCUAUUAUUUUCAAACAGAGUCCUUUUGAAGAAUACUGUUGCCCAAAAACGAUUCUUUUUUAAAGUCAACCUUUUCUGAUGAUUUUUGAAUAAUGUCGGACAAAUAAUGUUAGAUUUUGGGAUCAUAUAAACCAUUUUGGACUCGUAAGGAUCAUCACUAUCGAUUGACAUUGAAAUCUAAUUUUUGACCCAAAUCGAUAAAAAUGAAAGGACAUUACAUCGACCAUCUUAAGGACCAUUCUGAUGUCCUUUGGACAACACGUAGUCCUUGUCCUGCCAACUAAGAAUAUGUAAUAAAAAGGACGAAAAUCCUCCAAGGAGCUGAGGAAAGCAGAUGUUUUGUCGGGAGAGAUAAAUCGCUGUAGCCCGGCCGUAUCCUUGCCAAUCAUGAUGCCCAUUGGCCAACCAUCCUGACAAGUCGUGUGUCAAGCAAAUCGUAUAAACAAGGACCAUAAACUGUCCAAAGGACAACAAAAUCGUCCUUGCCGUUUCCGAUAUAUGGCUAAUUUUCUAAAAAGGACAUUUUUUAAUUGGCCACAACUUGGCCAAAUCCUUAAGGAUAUCGGAAGGAUAUGCAUUUUUAAACUCGUGACUCACAAAUUAAGGACUACAAUGAGCUCUAAGGACCUCCACGACUGAUAAAGCAUAUUUUCCCAGGAUCGGAAUUUAUUUAAUCCAGAUAUAGUUAUUUUAAGUUUAAAUAAACUAAAUUUUG